Molecule: ribosomal RNA, 146 nt
Filed under: uncultured bacterium
Lineage: Bacteria
Description: partial 16S ribosomal RNA
Rfam family: Bacterial small subunit ribosomal RNA
Source: RNAcentral
UCCUACGGGAUGCAGCAGUGGGGAAUAUUGCACAAUGGGCGCAAGCCUGAUGCAGCCAUGCCGCGUGUAUGAAGAAGGCCUUCGGGUUGUAAAGUACUUUCAGCGAGGAGGAAGGCAAUAAGGUUAAUAACCUUGUUGAUGACGAU